AUCUCAUCUCACAUUUGUGGUGGUUGUUACUGUAGCCCGUGUCUACGUCGAUUCCAACGUCUACAAUGACUCGUCGAAUUCUUGUCUUGGCAUUCGCCAUUGUCCUCGUCGCCGCUCUUUUCCACCAGAGCGAGGCUGGAUUGAAACUGAGGAAGCUCGCCAGAGCCGCUCUCCUCGGCGCCGCCAUCGCCCCUCGCUUCGUGCCCAUCCCCAUCCCGCACCACGUCCAUGAGAAGCACGGAUGGGACCACGGUCACGAGAAGCACGGAUGGGACCACGGACACGGAUGGGAACACGCCCCUGCCUGGUAGUUUGACAACCGGGAAAACCGCGGAUAACGCUUAGUGUUCUAGUUUGAAUCGCUGUUCCACCAUGUACAUACAUCUUCUACGUCUACGUCCGUACGUCGACUUUCGGCCUCAAGCCGAGAAAUCCGACUGCUCGACAACAACGUGCUUGUCUUAAAUGUAAUUUAUUGUCGUCCGGCUCGACCGUUGCCGCUGGUGUCAACGUUCCCGUCCAAACUGAUCCUAAUCGUUCGUAAAUAUGUGAUGCGUGUGAGUGGGUGUGUGUUUGUCCGGAGUGAGAUUCCUCAAAUAUUGUCGCUGCCAACCUGAAAUGUCUUUUCCGCUGAUUAGAAUUGAGGGCAACUCGAAGAUUGCGAACAGAAACGAAUAUUCGUCAAUGAUGAGGAUUACUCAAUAAAAUCCCUUUCAUUUUGAAAUUA
Long non-coding RNA from Galendromus occidentalis (western predatory mite), 727 nucleotides. RefSeq lists it as uncharacterized. The transcript has 3 exons. The record is from RefSeq and is a predicted model, not a curated record. Lineage: Eukaryota; Metazoa; Arthropoda; Arachnida; Mesostigmata; Phytoseiidae.